Molecule: long non-coding RNA, 5325 nt
Filed under: Salmo salar (Atlantic salmon)
Lineage: Eukaryota; Metazoa; Chordata; Actinopteri; Salmoniformes; Salmonidae
Description: lncRNA (ENSSSAG00000087858.1)
Source: RNAcentral
GUGUGUGAGUGUAUGUGUGUGCGACCAGAGCUCAAAGUGGAGUGAUAAGGCUGGUGAAAACAGAACACAUGAGAACACAGCUGGACUAGCUGGGAUCAUGUUUUACUCUAUCCCCUCUACACAAGCACUCUAAAACAAAAGAUUCAUUGGAGCAACAAAGAGUGAAAUGAAUGGAUUUGACUGUGAUUAAUAGCUCACACACACACACACACACACACACACACACACACACACACACACACACACACACACACACACACACACACACACACACACACACACACACACACACACACACACACUCUCUCUCUCUCUCGUACCCCCCUGAAGGUAUAAUUGUGAAGCUGCAUUGAUGUGCUCUGUUAAUUGGCAAUAAAAUUAUAAGUGGAAAGCACAGGGAGCCUGUGGGGUCCACACAAUUACCCAGAUACACAGAGUGUGUGUGUGCGCGUAAAUAUAGAUCUUUUUUAGAGAGGUAGGGGUGUAGCUGUUCCAGUGUUCUGCACCAUGGGAAUUGUGUUUUAGGCUAGAGCCACAUCUGUUUGUAUCCUACCCUCCUACCCCUAUACUGUUUGGGGUUCCAUUUUGGGCCCUCAUUGCCCAAAAUGAAAACUAGGCCCAAUGAGAGAUUACUAGGAAAUAGUUUUUUGUGCGUGUGUGCAUGCUUGUUUGCACUCAUGUAUGUAUGGUGUGUGUGUGUGCACGUGGGAAUGUUGAGUAUGUGGGUGUGUACAGUGUGUGUGGUGUGUGUGUGCACGUGGGUGUGUACAGUAUGUGUGGUGUGUGGGUGCACGUGGGUGUGUACAGUAUGUGUGGGUGCAUGUGGGUGUGUACAGUCUGUGGUGUGUGGGUGCACGUGGGUGUGUACAGUAUGUGUGGGUGCACGUGGGUGUGUACAGUAUGUGUGGUGUGUGGGUGUGUACAGUAUGUGUGGUGUGUGGGUGUGUACAGUAUGUGUGGUGUGUGGGUGUGUACAGUAUGUGUGGUGUGUGUGCAUGUGGGUGUGUACAGUAUGUGUGGUGUGUGGGUGCACGUGGGUGUGUACAGUAUGUGUGGGUGCACGUGGGUGUGUACAGUAUGUGUGGUGUGUGUGUACAGUAUGUGUGGUGUAUGGGUGUGUACAGUGGGUGUGCACAGUGUGUAUGGGUGUGUACAGUAUGUGUGGUGUGUGGGUGUGUACAGUAUGUGUGGUGUGUGUGUACUGUAUGGGUGUGUACAGUAUGUGUGGUGUGUGGGUGUGUACAGUAUGUGUGGUGUGUGGGUGUGUACAGUGUGUGUGGUGUAUGGGUGUGUACAGUAUUUGUGGGUGUGUACAGUAUGUGUGGUGUAUGGGUGUGUACAGUAUGUGUGGGUGUGUACAGUAUGUGUGGUGUGUGUACAGUAUGUGUGGUGUGUACGGUGUGUACAGUAUGUGUGGGUGUGUACAGUAUGUGUGGGUGUGUACAGUGUGUGUGGUGUAUGGGUGUGUACAGUAUGUGUGGGUGUGUACAAUGUGUGUGGUGUGUGGGUGUGUACAGUAUGUGUGGGUGUGUACAGUAUGUGUGGUGUAUGGGUGUGUACAGUAUGUGUGGGUGUGUACAGUAUGUGUGGGUGUGUACAGUGUGUGUGGUGUAUGGGUGUGUACAGUAUGUGUGGGUGUGUACAUUAUGUGUGGUGUAUGGGUGUGUACAGUAUGUGUGGGUGUGUACAGUAUGUGUGGGUGUGUACAGUAUGUGUGGUGUGUGGGUGUGUACAGUAUGUGUGGGUGUGUACAGUAUGUGUGGUGUGUGGGUGUGUACAGUAUGUGUGGUGUGUGGGUGUGUACAGUAUGUGUGGUGUGUGGGUGUGUACAGUAUGUAUGGUGUAUGGGUGUGUACAGUAUGUGUGGUGUGUGGGUGUGUUCAGUAUGUGUGGUGUAUAGGUGUGUACAGUAUGUGUGGUGUAUGGGUGUGUACAGUAUGUGUGGUGUAUGGGUGUGUACAGUAUGUGUGGUGUAUGGGUGUGUACAGUAUGUGUGGUGUGUGGGUGUGUACAGUAUGUGUGGUGUGUGGGUGUGUACAGUAUGGGUGUGUACAGUAUGUGUGGUGUGUGGGUGUGUACAGUAUGGGUGUGUACAGUAUGUGUGGUGUGUGGGUGUAUACAGUAUGGGUGUGUACAGUAUGUGUGGUGUGUAUGGGUGUGUACAGUAUGUGUGGUGUGUGGGUGUGUACAGUAUGUGUGGGUGUGUACAGUAUGGGUGUGUACAGUAUGUGUGGUGUAUGGGUGUGUACAGUAUGUGUGGUGUAUGGGUGUGUACAGUAUGUGUGGUGUGUGGGUGUGUACAGUAUGUGUGGUGUGUGGGUGUGUACAGUAUGGGUGUGUACAGUAUGUGUGGUGUGUGGGUGUGUGUCUAUAGCCUCCUCUGCUGUGUUGUAGAAUAUUAAUGUCCUCUGCACACUCACGUCUGAAUGGCGCGCAUGCUACGAUGACUGGGGAUUUGGGAUAUAAACCAUACCAUUUAUUCCCUCUACUCUGUCUGUCUCUAUUACUCGUGUGUGUGUGUGUGUGUGUGUGUGUGUGUGUGUGUGUGUGUGUGUGUGUGUGUGUGUGUGUGUGUGUGUGUGUGUGUGUGUGUGUGUGUGUGUGUACGUCCACAGCUCCAGAGCACAUUGCCCUGUGGGAAGCUGGCCGGUGAUGAACUCGGCACUCGAGGGUGGAGAGCACAGCAUUGGAAGGGUUGGGGAGGCGGGUCGUUUGGGCCGUUCGUUGGACCCGGUCUGGGUGUGUCAAGCAGAAGCUGGUCUUAUUGGUCUUAUUUCAUCCAGUGUUUUUCACGCCAACCCUUGUUGCACAUAUCCCCUGUUGCUGGUCAGGACUGGGCCUGUCUAACCAGUGUAGGAAAAAAGCACACAAUGGGAGAACUUCCAAACCAACAGAGUUUGAGCUCAACUGUAGAUGGUCCAUGGCAGCACACAUCUGUGUUUUGUACUGUACUGUUUUUUGUAUUGCAUAUUAUUUUUUUCAGACUUAGCUAAAUUAUGAUUCAUUUGUGAUGUUUGCCAUAACUGCCUCCCUGCAUUGUCAGUUUGAUUGUACAAUUCUCCCCAAAGCACUGAAUGUUCAGUACCAUGACAACCACUAUUCUUGCUUUCUCAAUCAUCCAGUAAGUGAAUUAAAAUGGUUUGCUACAAUGUGUUGUGGGGUAUUUUUCCAGACUGGGUAAUUCUAUUGGUCUCUGUGUUUGUGAGCAUGAGAGUGUGUAUGGUUUUUAGUGAAACUUUUGUGUUCUAGUAUGUGAGUGUUUGUUUGGAAUAGUUUGUGAGCGUGGCACUGUGAUGUGUCCUACACUAGUUUGGGAAGAGGCCAGUUUUACUCCUGUGUGUUGGGAGCAUCUCUGAGGUGACAUCACAGACAGUGUCCAGGAAUACCUAUGGACCAGGGAUGAGUGUGUUCAGCUGUUUGUCAGGCAGCGCUAGGAGGGGAGAGGGGGAUGAGGGGAGGAGUCGGCUGCAGAGGGAGGGAUUAAACCAACCUGCAGUGCUGCAGUGGAAUCAUGCAAAUGAACAAAGCUGGGAGAAGGUCACCAGGUUAAACAGGUGGGCAGUGGAGGAGGAAGCCGAGCAAUAACAGUGUGUGUGUGUGUUUACCAUAUCUGCAUUAAUCAGUGGUGUUAAUGCCAAGCUCCACUGCGUACCCGAGCUGCCACUCAACAGCUGAUUGGUACAAAAGACAAAACUACUGAAAUAGUUGUUUUUAAAUGGAAGUACAAUCACCCAUAUUCACCACACAGCAAUCAGACUUGAGCAAUCACUGAAUUUACAGUAAAGGCAAGAAUACAGGGAGGCAUUUUGACUUAGUUGUUCAUAGUCAGGGUUGUUCUGCUCUACAUUGAACAAACUGAUAAUGUGGUAUUGAUUGUAGAUGCAGAGAGAAAUGUAGAUACUGUGUUCAUGUCUUUGUGUGAUAGACGUGCCUGCCAUAAUGCAGAUGAAACUGGUUUUAGAGCUUCUAACUGUUUAUAUGACAAUGCGUGUGCUGUGACUAAGUCUUCAGUUACAUGUAUGCAUGUAAAGUGUGUGGUGCACUAGGGCUGGCUGAUAUGGCCUAAAAAUCAUAUCUCUAUUUUUUUCACUUAUGGGCGAUUCAUGAUAUACAGUAUCUAGAUUAUUUGAAGUUUUUUCUAGCUAAGCUUUGUUGUACAAUUAAAGGUCAAAUACACUGCAUUUCAAAAAGUCAGCAAUAAUCGAAUAAAUUCAGGGCUUGUGAAAUUAUGACUAGGCUAAAUAUAAUUAUUUUAUCUAAAUAUUUUAACUGGCUUUUUUUUGCAAUAAUCACUGAUCUGUCUUUCAAGUCUGUCUAUGAGAAAGCCGUUUUUGUUAAAAACCAUGCAUAAUGUACAUUCACUAAUAAUGACUAACUUAUUGUAGCAGGCAUUAUAUAAAAUUAACACAGGCCUCAAACUAAUCUUUAUAUUUCAGGUUUAGCCAACUUGGAUCUACAGUAUUUGCUAGCUUACAAGGCAAAACCGUUAAAUUGUUAUGAACGCAUCCUUCUGUCCGUCUCCAACUGUUUGACCAGCAUGUUAGCCUGUCCACUGUCAUUCUGUGCAGAGCAUUACAUUUCCAGAAUCAAUGCUCAUUGAGACUCCAGUUUUAGAGAAGUUGAGACAUAAAAAGAGUAUCAAUACCUUCUACUCUAUUACAGUAAAAUAAUGUCUCAAUGUGUUUCGGUGUCCAUAUGACCCAUUCUGUUGGACCACCAAACUUCAAAUGCAAAUAACGUGUUGAAAGCGCUUAUCAGAGAGGAAGAAGUGAUCUCAUCUUUGCUUUGAGAGGCAGGGGGAGGGGCUUGGUGUGUGUGCAAAUGGGAAGGUGCACACCGCCAGAGAUCUGUAUAUAAUGAUGAGAUACUCAUGUCUCCACCCUAACAAUGGGAGUCAUUGUCCCAAAGGUGGGAAGGACGGCGACAAGUUUAGGUAAAAAAUAAGCCCAUGAAAACGCAUUGAGUUUAUUUUGGACAGAUUCUGGAGAGAGUGAAACUUCUCGCUCCGCCUCUUCCUCUCUGACACAGCACAGAACGAGUGAAGGAGACGAGACCAAAAAGACAACAAGAGGACAUAAACACUCAUUAAACACACUCAUCUACUGUCAAAUCUACCAUUCCAGUGUUUUAAUUGCUAUAUUGUAUGUACUUCACCACCAUGGCCUAUUUAUUGCAUUUACCUCCCUUAUCUCACCUCAUUUGCUCACAUUGUAUAUAGACUUAUUUUUCUACUGUAUUAUUGACUGUAUGUUUGUUUUACUCCAUGUGUAACUCUGUGUUGUUAUAUGUGUCGAACUGCUUUGCUUUACCUUGGCCAGGUCGCAG